UGGGGAAUAUUGGACAAUGGGCGAAAGCCUGAUCCAGCCAUGCCGCGUGUGUGAAGAAGGUCUUCGGAUUGUAAAGCACUUUAAGUUGGGAGGAAGGGUUGUAGAUUAAUACUCUGCAAUUUUGACGUUACCGACAGAAUAAGCACCGGCUAACUCUGUGCCAGCAGCCGCGGUAAUACAGAGGGUGCAAGCGUUAAUCGGAAUUACUGGGCGUAAAGCGCGCGUAGGUGGUUUGUUAAGUUGGAUGUGAAAUCCCCGGGCUCAACCUGGGAACUGCAUUCAAAACUGACUGACUAGAGUAUGGUAGAGGGUGGUGGAAUUUCCUGUGUAGCGGUGAAAUGCGUAGAUAUAGGAAGGAACACCAGUGGCGAAGGCGACUACCUGGACUAAUACUGACACUGAGGUGCGAAAGCGUGGGGAGCAAACAGGAUUAGAUACCCUGGUAGUCCACGCCGUAAACGAUGUCAACUAGCCGUUGGAAGCCUUGAGCUUUUAGUGGCGCAGCUAACGCAUUAAGUUGACCGCCUGGGGAGUACGGCCGCAAGGUUA
Molecule: ribosomal RNA, 549 nt
Filed under: uncultured bacterium
Lineage: Bacteria
Description: bacterial SSU rRNA
Rfam family: Bacterial small subunit ribosomal RNA
Source: RNAcentral